Molecule: transfer RNA, 77 nt
Filed under: Gammaproteobacteria bacterium
Lineage: Bacteria; Pseudomonadati; Pseudomonadota; Gammaproteobacteria
Also listed under: 3 other names
Description: tRNA-Arg
Rfam family: tRNA
About the family: Transfer RNA (tRNA) molecules are approximately 80 nucleotides in length. Their secondary structure includes four short double-helical elements and three loops (D, anti-codon, and T loops). Further hydrogen bonds mediate the characteristic L-shaped molecular structure. tRNAs have two regions of fundamental functional importance: the anti-codon, which is responsible for specific mRNA codon recognition, and the 3' end, to which the tRNAs corresponding amino acid is attached (by aminoacyl-tRNA synthetases). tRNAs cope with the degeneracy of the genetic code in two manners: having more than one tRNA (with a specific anti-codon) for a particular amino acid; and 'wobble' base-pairing, i.e. permitting non-standard base-pairing at the 3rd anti-codon position.
Source: RNAcentral
GCGCCCGUAGCUCAGCUGGAUAGAGUACCGGUUUCCGGAACCGGGUGUCGGAGGUUCGAAUCCUCUCGGGCGUACCA